CUACCAUUAUUGGCAAUUGGCUAAUCUCUUUAAUUGCCAUGUUUGUAGAAAUGCGAAGCAGAGGUGCCAAGCUCUUGAGAGAAGCAACUAUAGGAGUCAAAGAACAGUAGAUCUGAAUCAUGAGGGUCCUGGGAACCCAUGCUUGUGGCCCCAGUGAUUUUGCUGGGAUCUUGCUAUGCCCAGAGGGAAUUCAUGUUCAUGUUCCUCAAACACUUUAUGCUUCCAAGAGCCCCUGGGUGUAUGGACAGACUUGCAGUGGGGGAGUGGUGUAAGUCGUACUAUUAGCUUGAACAGUAUCUUUUUAUGUCUGCUAGAAAAUACCAGUUUUUCAACUUACAGGAAAGGGAAUCCAUGAGUGGGGCCCCUAUGAGUUCUUUUCAAGGAAAUAUGGUCUCUUGAGAAGGUGAUAAAUGGUGUGACACACUUCAUCUUUAUGCAGCUAGAUUAGCAAGGAAAUAGUGGGAUUAGUUUUGUUUCUCUGGAAGAAAUGGGGGCAGGGCAGGGCAGGGGGGAAGUGGUUUGUAACUUUGAAUGAUCUUAUCUGUGCUAUACUUUUGUCUGCUUUCCUCUGGUCACUGAAUUUGUUCUUGGAGCUUUCUGUGGCUCAUACUUUAUCCUUACUUUCUUCUUUAUCCUUCCUCCCUAAGACUCUUCUUUCCUGGUUCUUUUCCUGGUCCUUUUCAUCAAGAGGAUGACCUGUGUUAUCUUGACAGUUAUACCCUCGUAAGACUGAGGUCACCUAGAAGUUCAGUGUCUUUUAUGGUUUAAGUUUUGGAAUGACAUGCUUACUUGCUUAGGAUGACUCAGCAGAGCCAAGGACCACUAGAGAUCUUGACACUUUUUUGAGUCUUUAAACUCAAGAUAAUGAUAAUUUCUGCAAAUCAGAAAUUGCCCUAAGAUGCCGUUUAGUUAAUUUAUAUGCAUUUUACAUAUCCACAUAUAUUACUACCAAAAAGGGUUUGCAUCAUUAGUGCCGACAUAUACAAACAAACUUGCUUUGUUACUUAGAGCAUAUUCCUGAUUUCUGAGGAACAAUGGGAGACAUGACCCUAGAUUAAUUAAGUUAAGAUAUUAAUAUUUAUAUUUAAUUAACCUAAUGAAGAUAUUAUUAAUAAUUAAUAUUCAGAGACAACAUUUCUUCCUGUGGUGAGAGGGAGCAAGAUACAAAGUAGAUUGAAGAGAAAGACAAAGGAAGUGGUAGACCUAACUGAACUAGAGUCAGUGAUCAAUUAGAAUGCUUUUAGACUCAGUAGUCUGUGGAGUGAGUGUGUUGAAUAUAAAUGAUCUAAAUAUCUGUUUACUCUGGAGUCAGUGGGUGCCCUCCUCUGCUGGUGCGAUUUGAAAGCAGACUGUCUUGGCUUUGCCACCUACACUUAAUAACUUUGGGCAAGGUGCCUAAUUUCUCUGAGACGGAUUCUUUGUCUUUUCUUGAAGAUAACAUAUCUCUUGUGGGCCUGUUGGAAGGAUCUGGUAUGUUGUAGGCAUUCAAUGUCCAGAAAGAGGGGAACAGACCAACUUCCUUGAUGUUGAUUUUUGAGGUUUUGGUGUUACUAUUCUAGAAUUUCCAUGUGUGACUAGAAGAACUCAUGCCCAUUUGGUUAUGAAGGUGUAGGGAUAAUAUUUCACUAGAAAUGGGUAUGAGGCCCACGAGGUUACCCCUAGCGGUAGCUUUUCGUGGCCAUGUCACAUGGGUAGAGCCUUAAGUGGUUGGUUUCUCUUUCCUGUUAUUAGGAAGUAGUGUUCUGUGACUAGUUGAAAGCCUCCCACUCUGCCAAGCUUCUGUUGCUCUAGAUUGGCCCAAAGACAAAUAGUCUCCCUACCCUUGCUGGCUGUCCCCUUGUUCUGGAAUGUUCUUUACUCACAUUGCCCAUUCUGGACAUUUGUUAAGAUCCAGCUGAAAUGUCACCUCCUCAGGUGAAGACUGGAGAAGACUACUCCUUUCCUCUUCCACAGAAGCAGCCGGCUUUCUUCCUUUCCUUCCUUUCUUUCUUCUCUCCUAAAUUAACAACUUUGCUGAGGUAUAAUUUACGUACCUCAAAAGUGAAGCAUGUGAUUCAGGUGUCUAGUUCACACACCAUACAACACCAAAUUCACCCAUUCUGAACGUACAAUUCAUUGAUUUUUAGUAUGUCUGUAGAGUUGUGCAACUAUGACCCCCAUCUAAUUUAGAAUAUUUUUUUAAGAUUACUUAUUUAUUAAUUUGACAACACACGCACGAGAGAGAGAGUGAGAGUGAGAGAGCACACGCGUGCACACACGUGCACACACACAAGCAGGGGGAGGGGCCGAGGGAGAAGCAGACUCCCCACUGAGCAGGGAACCCAAUAUGGGGCUCAUUCCCUGAAGACAAACACUUAACCAACUGAGCCACCCAGGUGCCGACAAAUUUAGGAUAUGUUUAUCACCUCCAAAAGAAACCUCCUGUCCUUUACAGCCACUUUUUAUUUCCACACCCAAACCUCACCUUCCUAUCUGUAUGGAUAUGCCUUUUCUGGACAUUAUAUAUAAAUCAAAUUAUAUAUAUAUAUUUUCACAUCUGGUGCUUUUGCUUUGUGUGAUAUUCUUGCGGAUUAUUCACAUUCUAGCAUGAAUCAGUACUUCACUCCUUUACAUGGCCGACCUCCUCUUCCAUCGAAUAGCUGUUAACAUCUUGUUUAUUGAUCCGUUGAUAGACUUCUGGGUUAUUUCUGCUUUUUGGCCAUUAAAAAUGCUCCUGUGAACAUUCCUGAGCAAGUCUUUGUAUAGACACAUGUUCUCUUUUCUCCUGGGGGAGAUCCCAGAAGUGAAAUCGCUGGUCCAUGUGGUAACUCCAUAUUUCACAUUUUGAAGAUCUGCCCAGCUGGUUUCCAAAGCAGGUGCUACAUUGUACAUUCCCACCAGCCGUCUGUGAGGGUCCCAUUACUCCCUAUCCUCCCCAAGCCUUGUUACUGCCUGCUGUUUUAUUUACACCAUGGUAGCAGCUGUAAAAGUAUAGCUGUGCUUUAGAUUUGCAUUUCUCUAAUGAACAACGAUGUUACCAUCUUUUCACAUACUUGCUAGCUUUGGUAUUCUCUUCUUCCGAGAGGACAAACUGCCUAUUUUACCCUGUUUCUUUGAACCUUAGUAUUCUUGCAACCCUGUUUAUAGAUGAGUUUAUAGAUGAGAACACCUAGGUAUGGAGAAUUUGGAGUACUUACCCAAGGACACCCAGUUCAUAGGCGCCCCAGUCAAGAUGAUUAAAUUUCUUUUGAACGUGGAGUGGAUUGAGAGAUGAGAUUGUCGAACACUGAAUUAAGAACCCACUGCAUGGCCCAAAUGUUAAGGUUUUUGCCUCUUGAAUCCUCUGACUAAGCAACUGGCUAAGACUUAUUUAAAAAAUAAAUAAGAUGGGGCAUCUGGCUGGCUCAGUCGCUGUAGCACGCGACUCUUGAUCUCUGUCUGGGUGGUGAGUUCCAGCCCCAUGUUGGGUGUAGAGAUUGCUUAAGUAAAUAAGCUUUAAAGAAAAUCUUUUAAAAAUAAAUAAAGCAGCCCACGUAAACAAGACGCAAUUACUGUGACAGAACCAUUUUUCUCUGGGUUUAUGCAAACCAUGAUUCCUCCUCUUUUUAAGAAGCAAAUGGCUCCGGUUCCCUCCUUUCCGAUAAAAUAAAAUAAAAAAUAUUUUAGCCCUCAUCCUUAUUGUCCCUGUUCUUUAUAAGGAAGGGUUUGUGCUGGAGUCCUCGUUGGUGUUUCUGCAGCUUUUACUUUUUGUUCCUUCCCUUUCUCGAGAGGUGCCCCAUGGCUGUGGUCUCCAUUUGGGGGGGCUAUGCACUGGUCUGUGCUAGCUGCGUUAGGACAGCUGGGCCUUAAGGAGGGAGGCUGUUUCAGUGCACCUCAGUGUGCUGCUCCAAAUGCUAAGUCUUGGGUUACUGAGCUUGAGAAAUUCAGGGCAGUGUCUCACAGGGUUUCGCAACCAUUUCUUUCUUUCUUUUUUUUUUUUCACCUCAGAGGAUUCAUAAAUGUGUCUCCAUGUUUUCUCCUUAUUAGGAAUGAAGUGAGCCUCAAAUUCCUAUAAUCUCCUCAUUCCUGACUAACCUCCUUCGAGCCUUGGUGAAAAAUCGUAACAAUUUUUACAGAAGGUAAAGUCACCCUGGUAGAAUUUUCCACUCGAGUGCCGAGCCGUGCACAGCUGUUUUUAGCCGCUCUGGCAACCUCCCUGCUCUGUGAGACUCCAGUGUCUUCAGUCCCAUGAAUCAGGCAAAAAAACGAGGCAAAGGAUGGGAUUUAAGGCUCUCCUUGUUUUCUGCUCUGAAGCCAUAAAAGGGAAGUUUAGGACAGGAGGGGAAAUGACAUCAAGGACACGGCAGGACUGGGCAGGAACAGACGGACAAUGAUAGGUCACCAUGCAUAAAAUGUGUGUCCUAAGAGUGGAGACCUUGACUUGGUCUGAAGGUCACAGGGCCCAGCACAGCCGAAUGUGUAGUACAGCUAGAAGCAGCUCGGUCUUUUUCCAAUGCGGGUGCAGUGCUUUUAGCUUGUUCCUGAACUUUCUCCCCUUAGAGCAGCCUCUUCCUUGUGCUCAGUGCUCACUGCUGAGCUUUCCCAGCGGCGUCUGUGUGUGCUGACCGGCUGGCAGGCGGAAGAUCAGUCGGUGUUCUGGACCGUACGCCUCUGGCUUAAAGAGCUUUGUCUGUAUAUAUUGGUUGUUGCUCAUAUUUUUUGCAAGUACCAGACGAAUGAUUGUUUUCAGUAGAUGUCACAGGGUAAAAAACAGUGGGAAAGUAUUCCCUUAAUAUACCAUCCCACGUGAGACCCUAGAUUUCAGAAUCUCAGGGAGCCAACUUUCCAUUUGCUGUAAAAUGCCAGGAAGAGCUGAAUCUGGUAACAAGGCACAGAUCUUGAGGCAGCAUCAUUGUCCUAUGUUCAUUCUAUAAAAUGGGGGAUAUUUCCACAUUCUAGACGGCCCCUACAUUGGCAGUUUUGUGGAUGUCGAUAAUGUACCUUUUCUCAAAGAUGGAAUACUCCAGAACAAAUGCUUUCUCCACUUAACACUGAUGCUUCAUGGAUUGAGUCAUUUAAGCCUCACAGAAAUCCUCUGACUGAAGGGCACCCAGGUGGUGCAGUCAGUUAAGCAUCUGACUCUUGGUUUUGGCUCAGGUCAUGAUCACAGGGUCCUGGAAUGGAGCCUCGCAUCAGGGUCCCGCACUCAGCGGAGUCUGCUUGGGAUUCUCUGCCCCUUCCCCCACUCUUGUGUGUUUCUCUCUCUCUUUAUUAACAUAUAAUGUAUUAUUUGCUUCAGGGGUACAGGUCUGUGAAUCAUCAGUCUUACACAGUUCACAACACCCGCCAUAGCACAUACCCUCCCCAAUGUCCAUGACCCAGCCACCCUAACCCUACCCCUCAACCCCCAGCAACCCUCAGUUAUUCUCUCUCUCUUAAAUAACUAAAUCUUUUUUUAAAAAAAGGUAAACCUCUGAAGGGGGUAGAUAUUAUCACCUUCAAUUUGCAGGUGCAGAAACUGAGACUCCAGAAGGUAAAAUGACUUAAUUUCUAGGUUUGGGGAUGCCUGGGUGGCUCAGUCAGGGAAGCAUCUGCCUUUGGCUCCAGACAUGAUCCCAGGUCCUGGAAUGGAGCCCUGCAUGGGGCUCCCUGCUCAGCCGGAAGCCUGCUUCUCCCUCUCCCACUCCCCCUGUUUGUGUUCCCUCUCUCACUGUCAAAUAAAUAAAGUCUAUAAGAAAAACCCUAAAACUCUAGGUUUGUGUGAUCUCUGCUUCAUUGUCUGUCUAAUCCUCCAGGCUGCCCUGCAGAAGUUCCCACAGCUUAAGCAGUGCAUAUAAUAGAAACAUGACUCUGGGGGAAAAAAAGAGAGAGAGAGAAACCCCAAAACAGACUCUUAACUCCUCUUAACUCUAGAGAGCAAACUGAUGGUUCCCAGGGGGGCAGGGGAUGGGUGGAAUGGGUAAAGGGGAUUAAGUGGGCACUGGUCCUGAUGAGCCCUGAGUAACAGAUGGAAUUGUUGUAUCGCUACAUUGUGUCCCUGAAGCUAAUACAACACUGGACACGAACUAUACUGCAAUUAAAAUUUAAAACGUUAAAAUUUUUUAAAAAAGAAGAAAACAUGACUCUGAUCUCAGUGAGUUUUUUUUUUUUUUAAGAUUUUAUUCAUUUAUUUGACAGAGAGAGAUCACAAGUAGGCAGAGAGGCAGACAGAGAGAGAGGAGGAAGCAGGCUCCCUGCGGAGCAGAGAGCCCCAUGCGGGGCUUGAUCCCAGGACCCUGGGAUCAUGACCUGAGCCGAAGGCAGAGGCUUUAAGCCACUGAGCCACCCAGGCGCCCCUCUCAGUGCUUUCUGAACACCGAUGACUGAUUGAACUUGACACAGAAAAAAGAAAUGCUGGAGAGAAGGAAUGCCUGUGUCUCAUUGGAAGUGAAGCCAGACCCCCUUUCCUUCUCAUGGUCUCUCCAUGGAGCCCAUCUGGGUUCUGUGCCAUUCCUGGGCCUGCCUGAUGGGGCCCAGGAUGGCACGGUGACUCCCAUUCCAGUCCUAGGUCAUGCUGAGUGACCCUGGGCUGGGAGGUCCUGGAGUCUCAAUGCCUCAUUGAGCAGACAGGGGUGAUCGCCCCGGAUGCCAGCUAUCAGCUUUGUCAUUCACACCUGCUGCUUGUCCAUGCGGCACCUUCUCCAACCACAUCAGCUCCUGGUGACAAGUGCCAUAAGGGCAGGCACUCAGAUCUGUGCUGAUGAGCACAGAGGGUUUUUGAAUGUUUGACCUCCUGUUCUGUUUUCUCUUGACUCCUUUUCUUCUGGACAUUACUCACUGGCAGGCAAGAGAGGUGGCCGGUUGGGUCGUGGCCCAAGGUGGCUUGGUGUCAGGAACCAGACUGGAGUCUUUCUUAGCAGUCUGAUGGUUUGAGGAAGAAGUGAGUGCACUCUUGAAUGUGUCUGCAGAGUAUUUGAUCACUCUGGAUAAAAUCCCAUAAAUAUUAGUCAUUCCAGGAUGCCUGAUCUUAACUUACCUAGAAAACUCACCUCGCAGAGUUUACCCAGGAGAAGGACCAUGACUCAUUUCAUUCAUUCAUUCUUCGUUCAUUCAUUCAUUUGUUUUUGGUGAAGAAUUGAAUAACAUGGGAAAAUGCACAGAUCAAGAAUGUUCACCCACUGAACAUACCCAAAUAACAACCAUCAAGACAAAGAACAUGACCCAUCUCCCCAUCAUUACCCCAAUGUCUAAGACCAUAAUGUCUUAUUUAUGUCUAAUUUAUGUCUAAUUUAUUUAUGUGUAAUUUAUGUCUAAUUUAUGUCUAAGACCAUAAAUUACUUUUACCUGUUUUUGUCCUUUAAAAUACAUGGAAAUAAACAGCAUGUACUCUUUUA
Long non-coding RNA from Mustela lutreola (European mink), 7331 nucleotides. RefSeq lists it as uncharacterized. The record is from RefSeq and is a predicted model, not a curated record. Lineage: Eukaryota; Metazoa; Chordata; Mammalia; Carnivora; Mustelidae. The transcript has 2 exons.